GCCUUUACUGACGCUAAAGCUCGAAGGUGCGGGUAUCGAACAGGAUUAGAUACCCUGGUAGUCCGCACGGUAAACGAUGGAUGCCCGCUGUUUGCGAUAUAUUGUAAGCGGCCAAGAGAAAUCGUUAAGCAUCCCACCUGGGGAGUACGCCGGCAACGGUGAAACUCAAAGGAAUUGACGGGGGCCCGCACAAGCGGAGGAACAUGUGGUUUAAUUCGAUGAUACGCGAGGAACCUUACCCGGGCUUGAACUGCAGCGGAAGGAAACAGAGAUGUUGACGUCCUUCGGGACCGCUGUGGAGGUGCUGCAUGGUUGUCGUCAGCUCGUGCCGUGAGGUGUCGGCUUAAGUGCCAUAACGAGCGCAACCCUUCUCUUCAGUUGCCAUCAGGUAAUGCUGGGCACUCUGGAGACACUGCCACCGUAAGGUGUGAGGAAGGUGGGGAUGACGUCAAAUCAGCACGGCCCUUACGUCCGGGGCUACACACGUGUUACAAUGGCCGGUACAGAAAGUCGGAUGCCCGUAAGGUCAUUCUAAUCAAGAAAGCCGGUCCCAGUUCGGACUGAGGUCUGCAACCCGACCUCACGAAGCUGGAUUCGCUA
This 600-nucleotide ribosomal RNA is filed under the name uncultured bacterium. RNAcentral's name for it is "bacterial SSU rRNA". It matches the Rfam family "Bacterial small subunit ribosomal RNA", at positions 733 to 1337 of the family's 1533-position model. The record is from RNAcentral.